RNAcentral lists this ribosomal RNA (450 nucleotides) under uncultured bacterium. RNAcentral describes it as "partial 16S ribosomal RNA". It matches the Rfam family "Bacterial small subunit ribosomal RNA", at positions 29 to 523 of the family's 1533-position model. The record is from RNAcentral.
AGCGAACGCUGGCGGCAGGCCUAACACAUGCAAGUCGAACGAAGUCUUCGGACUUAGUGGCGGACGGGUGAGUAACACGUGGGAACGUGCCUUUAGGUUCGGAAUAACUCAGGGAAACUUGUGCUAAUACCGAAUGUGCCCUUCGGGGGAAAGAUUUAUCGCGCUUUAGAGCGGCCCGCGUCUGAUUAGCUAGUUGGUGAGGUAAAGGCUCACCAAGGCGACGAUCAGUAGCUGGUCUGAGAGGAUGAUCAGCCACAUUGGGACUGAGACACGGCCCAAACUCCUACGGGAGGCAGCAGUGGGGAAUCUUGCGCAAUGGGCGAAAGCCUGAAGCAGCCAUGCCGCGUGAAUGAUGAAGGUCUUAGGAUUGUAAAAUUCUUUCACCGGGGACGAUAAUGACGGUACCCGGAGAAGAAGCCCCGGCUAACUUCGUGCCAGCCGCCGCAGUAA